UACGGAGGGGGCUAGCGUUAUUCGGAAUUAUUGGGCGUAAAGGGCGCGUAGGCGGCCCGGUAAGUCAAAGGUGAAAUCCCUCGGCUCAACUGAGGAACUGCCUUUGAAACUGUCGGGCUUGAGGCCGGGAGGGGGUAGCGGAAUUCCCAGUGUAGCGGUGAAAUGCGUAGAUAUUGGGAGGAACACCUGCGGCGAAGGCGGGUUGCUGGGCCGACACUGACGCUGAGGCGCGAAAGCUAGGGGAGCGAACGGG
This 253-nucleotide ribosomal RNA is filed under the name uncultured bacterium. Its description in RNAcentral is "partial 16S ribosomal RNA". It matches the Rfam family "Bacterial small subunit ribosomal RNA", at positions 524 to 776 of the family's 1533-position model. The record is from RNAcentral.